ACCUUUUGUAUAAUGGGUCAGCGACUUAUAUUCUGUAGCAAGGUUAACCGAAUAGGGGAGCCGAAGGGAAACCGAGUCUUAACUGGGCGUUAAGUUGCAGGGUAUAGACCCGAAACCCGGUGAUCUAGCCAUGGGCAGGUUGAAGGUUGGGUAACACUAACUGGAGGACCGAACCGACUAAUGUUGAAAAAUUAGCGGAUGACUUGUGGCUGGGGGUGAAAGGCCAAUCAAACCGGGAGAUAGCUGGUUCUCCCCGAAAGCUAUUUAGGUAGCGCCUCGUGAAUUCAUCUCCGGGGGUAGAGCACUGUUUCGGCAAGGGGGUCAUCCCGACUUACCAACCCGAUGCAAACUGCGAAUACCGGAGAAUGUUAUCACGGGAGACACACGGCGGGUGCUAACGUCCGUCGUGAAGAGGGAAACAACCCAGACCGCCAGCUAAGGUCCCAAAGUCAUGGUUAAGUGGGAAACGAUGUGGGAAGGCCCAGACAGCCAGGAUGUUGGCUUAGAAGCAGCCAUCAUUUAAAGAAAGCGUAAUAGCUCACUGGUCGAGUCGGCCUGCGCGGAAGAUGUAACGGGGCUAAACCAUGCACCGAAGCUGCGGCAGCGACGCUUAUGCGUUGUUGGGUAGGGGAGCGUUCUGUAAGCCUGUGAAGGUGUACUGUGAGGUAUGCUGGAGGUAUCAGAAGUGCGAAUGCUGACAUAAGUAACGAUAAAGCGGGUGAAAAGCCCGCUCGCCGGAAGACCAAGGGUUCCUGUCCAACGUUAAUCGGGGCAGGGUGAGUCGACCCCUAAGGCGAGGCCGAAAGGCGUAGUCGAUGGGAAACAGGUUAAUAUUCCUGUACUUGGUGUUACUGCGAAGGGGGGACGGAGAAGGCUAUGUUGGCCGGGCGACGGUUGUCCCGGUUUAAGCGUGUAGGCUGGUUUUCCAGGCAAAUCCGGAAAAUCAAGGCCGAGGCGUGAUGACGAGGCACUACGGUGCUGAAGCAACAAAUGCCCUGCUUCCAGGAAAAGCCUCUAAGCAUCAGGUAACAUCAAAUCGUACCCCAAACCGACACAGGUGGUCAGGUAGAGAAUACCAAGGCGCUUGAGAGAACUCGGGUGAAGGAACUAGGCAAAAUGGUGCCGUAACUUCGGGAGAAGGCACGCUGAUACGUAGGUGAAGCGACUUGCUCGUGGAGCUGAAAUCAGUCGAAGAUACCAGCUGGCUGCAACUGUUUAUUAAAAACACAGCACUGUGCAAACACGAAAGUGGACGUAUACGGUGUGACGCCUGCCCGGUGCCGGAAGGUUAAUUGAUGGGGUUAGCGCAAGCGAAGCUCUUGAUCGAAGCCCCGGUAAACGGCGGCCGUAACUAUAACGGUCCUAAGGUAGCGAAAUUCCUUGUCGGGUAAGUUCCGACCUGCACGAAUGGCGUAAUGAUGGCCAGGCUGUCUCCACCCGAGACUCAGUGAAAUUGAACUCGCUGUGAAGAUGCAGUGUACCCGCGGCAAGACGGAAAGACCCCGUGAACCUUUACUAUAGCUUGACACUGAACAUUGAGCCUUGAUGUGUAGGAUAGGUGGGAGGCUUUGAAGUGUGGACGCCAGUCUGCAUGGAGCCGACCUUGAAAUACCACCCUUUAAUGUUUGAUGUUCUAACGUGGACCCGUAAUCCGGGUUGCGGACAGUGUCUGGUGGGUAGUUUGACUGGG
This 1690-nucleotide ribosomal RNA is filed under the name Shigella flexneri. RNAcentral's name for it is "partial 23S ribosomal RNA". It matches the Rfam family "Bacterial large subunit ribosomal RNA", at positions 603 to 2278 of the family's 2925-position model. The record is from RNAcentral. Lineage: Bacteria; Pseudomonadati; Pseudomonadota; Gammaproteobacteria; Enterobacterales; Enterobacteriaceae.